UACAGAGGUGGCAAGCGUUGUUCGGAAUUACUGGGCGUAAAGGGCGCGUAGGCGGUUCGUUAAGUCCUGUGUGAAAUCCCCGGGCUUAACCUGGGAACUGCAUUUGUGACUGCAAGGCUGGAGUGCGGCAGAGGGGGAUGGAAUUCCGCGUGUAGCAGUGAAAUGCGUAGAUAUGCGGAGGAACACCGAUGGCGAAGGCAAUCCCCUGGGCCUGCACUGACGCUCAUGCACGAAAGCGUGGGGAGCAAACAGG
RNAcentral lists this ribosomal RNA (253 nucleotides) under uncultured bacterium. RNAcentral describes it as "partial 16S ribosomal RNA". It matches the Rfam family "Bacterial small subunit ribosomal RNA", at positions 524 to 776 of the family's 1533-position model. The record is from RNAcentral.